GUGAAUGGUCAUACUAUGCUGAAAACACCGGUUUUCGUCUGAUCCCCGAAGUUAAGCAGCAUCAGGUCUGGUUAGUACUUGGAUGGGUGACCGCCUGGGAAUCCCAGAUGCCGUUAACUUUU
Molecule: ribosomal RNA, 122 nt
Filed under: Strigamia maritima
Lineage: Eukaryota; Metazoa; Arthropoda; Chilopoda; Geophilomorpha; Linotaeniidae
Source: RNAcentral